CCUCCCCACAGCUCACAAUCUUCUCUCUCUCUUUGGGAUUGUUCUUGAGAGAAGGGGAGAAGGAAUUGCAUGGGAAAUUGAUUAUUGGCUUUGAUUCUUCUUUCCCCCAACAAUAUUUCUAGUUCCUAGUCAGAUCUGGUGAAAUCAUGAAGAUGUAUACGGAAUCUGUCCAUUAUGUUAUCAAGAAACGACGGGCGUUAGGUGUUCUAGCUGUAAUGUUGGCCAUUGUCCGGUGGCGUCGUCAACGUAGACAUUACAGUCUUAGAAUGUCUCGAAGAAAGUAUGGGCCAUUGGUUGAUAGAGAUCUGGAGAGGCAAAAAAAGUUGAAUGACCUGUACAAUUCAACCGAUAAAAAUUGCAUCAGUCAACUCCGGACGACGGGGCCGCUGCGCAGUGGGUUUGAUGAUGUGAACAAACAAGUGAUGCUCUCCAAAUCUACUCUAGAUGGCUUAUCGGUAAUUAUCUCAUACAAAUUAUCUAUUUGUCGAGUGUUCAACUACUGAUGUGGAACUAACAAUAAAAUUCAUGUAGGCUAAUGAUCGUGGAAUUCUCUCUAAACCGAUUCAGUUCUACGACAAGUUGAAGGAUUAUUUAGUGGCUCGUCGGCAGAUGGCUCUUUUAUGCAAGACCCUUUCUCUGCAGCUGAAACUGACAAUGAUGAUAAGGUAAAAGAUGACAUGAUGAAUGAUAUGUCCACCUUUGAUGAAGCGAAGGGUCCAACAGGUCAUGACUCGGAUAAAUUAGAUACAGAUAGUGAUGAUUGUGAAGCGGUGGCUGCUCUUGCUGCACUGAUAGUCAAGUUUCCUCGUCCAAUGUUUUUUUGACCCUUUAACAGUAGGAGAACCUCCUACUGUUUUUGUAUUAAUAUAAAAGGGGUAACACUUUACAUGAGGAUUUUUACAUGAUGACUUUACAAUUCACCCUUCCUUUGGGAGGUGGGGGGGAACUUAAGCUAUAGAGGAGAGGAUGAGUGGGAUGAGAUUUUUAUGCUUUUCCUUAACCCUAUAGGUAAGGAGAGAAAAAUCAGUCUUAAGCCUAUCCAACCAUGAAGUCUUUGAGGGCAUCAUCCCCCUGAAAUGUUUGUUGUUGCGUUCCUUCCAGAUACUCCAUGCGGCCGUCAGGAAUAGCUCCAUGAAAAGAGGCCUGUUCCAGUUAUUCUUGGCAGACACAACUUGUUGCAGGCGAGGUUGUCCCUGAUUCCACGUAAUUCCAAGGCUGGACCAACAUUCAGUACUGAAUUGACACUCAAAAAAGAGGUGUUCCAGUGUUUCCUCAAUGUGCAGCCCACAUAGGAUGCAAUCAUAGUCAUUUCCUAUAUUGUAAUGUCUCCUCUUGAGCAUAUUUCGCGUGUUCAAUCGGUCAGAAAGGAGCAGCCAUCCAAAAACUUUAAUUUUCAUGGUGGAUUUUCCUCGUCCAAUGUUGCGGCUCUAAAGCCUAACAAGAAAAGUUUCAAAAAAAGUCCAAAGCCAAAUACUCUGCCACCACCACAAAAUGAUAAAGCUAAAAGGUCAAAGCCAAGAUCAUCUCAAGCAUCACAAGAUGACACUAAUAUGGAUGUGCUGCUCACAAGUACUUUGAUAGGCAUACGAGAAACCCUUGCAAGUCCAGUACAGACUGUAGCCCCAAAGGACCCAAAUGCUCCUUUAUGGGACAUGCUCAAGAAGAUUCCGUUGCCACCUGAUGAGAGGAUGUCGGUCGGGAUGCAUCUAUGCAAGCCAGAAUUUGCAGUCCAUCGAGGUUUUCUUGUCAACAUGGGUCAAGAAUACCUGGAGCGUUGGGUGUAUACAUACUUAUCUUAUCUGACAAUUAUCCUGCUGGCAAACGUGUCGGCGAUGAUCUUGUUGGUAACCUUGGAAACAAAGAUCCUGCUAGUAACCUUGGCGAUGAUCCUGCUGUUAACUCUAGCCCUUUCUGAGUAAGAUUGAUUGGUGGUCUACCAUAUUGUUGGAUCCUUUUGGUUGCAAAACACUAGUUUCUAAGUAGUCAAUGACUAGCUUUUGGCUAUGCACAACUGAUGUCUAAGUAAUGGCUGAUGGUGGUAUUAUUUUGCUACAGCCUUCUGCUUAGUUUCCAAGUAGUAUCAGCAUGCAUGAUAUGAUUAUUAGAUGCUAAUGUGAAAGCUGUGUUGCUUUCUGACUUGGAUAAGUUUCUAGGUAGUAUCAGGAUGAAUACAUAAUUAGACUUCUGGUUAUGUUAAUUCCACAAGGAUAAUUUGUGUAUCUCUUGCAUUCCAGAUGUGCUGGACAAUGAGUAUUAAUCAAAUGUAAUGCAUUGUGGUUAUUCAACAGCAAUGUUGCUGUGUAUCCUCAGAGUUAUAAAAUCAUUUGCCUUCAGUGUUAUGCUUAUGAAACUUCAGAUUAUUAUUACUUUUUGCUUAUCAAAUUAUUUGGCUUUGUUAUGCUUUUGAAAAGUCCGACCAUAUUUAUUUAUAUUUAUAUUUAGCAUAUGCAUAUCGGUGAUCUCCAAUCCCAGGCAAUAUAGCAACCAAACACUGCCUGGGCCAUUUAUCCACACAAGCACGUUCCCAGGUCAGCAACCAAACGCAGCCUAGAAACAUGGUCGUGCCUGGCCAGGCAUUUUUUGCUGAGAUGUCCAUGCAACUCCCAAGCAGCUAUUUUGCCCAGGCAAACCAGUGACACGAUCCAAACACACCCUUAAUUCAGGUGGGGGGUGAGUGCGGGUUGAAUCAGGCAAACGGCAGGGGGUUUUGUGCAAAACUACACGCGCUGACCGGCCCAGCCAAUUGGCGAGUUCUCAUUGGCCUGGGACUAAAACAUCACAUUGGAUGCAAGUUGAGGUAUGGAUUGGUCUAGUUUUGCAAGUUUAGGACUAGAU
RNAcentral lists this ribosomal RNA (2835 nucleotides) under Triticum aestivum (bread wheat). RNAcentral describes it as "partial small subunit ribosomal RNA". Lineage: Eukaryota; Viridiplantae; Streptophyta; Magnoliopsida; Poales; Poaceae. The record is from RNAcentral.